AUCGAGGGCGGAAGUGGGUGUGGUCUUCGGUCCGAAGGCCUGGCUGCGGGGAGUGGGUGCGGCGGGAGUUGGGGUGAUCGUUAACAUUUAGACUGGAGCUGUUUCCCUGGAGGUGCGCCCUUGGGAAGGGCCUGACUGUGUGAAGAGUGGACAGCAGUCCUCCGCCCCCUGCUGGGCUCGCGGUAAAGUGGUGGCUCCUGUGUCCCCGCUGUUCCGCCUGUGCACUGGCCGACUUUUUAAAGCCAUGCCCCAAAGUGCUGUCCUCCUGCAAAACCGAGCCCGAAGGGACAGUGCAAAGUGAAGUCAAACUGAGUAUUUACCUGGGUAGGACGCCAAAUUAUUUGAAAAUAAAUACUAAAAACGUUAGUAUAAAUUGAACCUAGCUUCAGCUAGACCAGGCACCAGGUGUGUAAAUCGGUACACCUUUUAAAAUAGCAGUCAGGUUCUGUUUGCAGAUGACCAAACAAAUCUCACCCUUACCCUUUGACUCUCUAUCCUGCUGCUAGAGAUGUAGCCUAAGAAAAUAAUCAGAUGCACCCAAAGAGCUUUGCACAAGGAUAUUCAUGGGAGCCCUUAUGGUUUUGAAGCAUAUUUAGUGGUCGGGAAGAGUGCUCAUGAUGCGAAGCUAACUGAACUAUAUAUACAGAAUGAUCCAGACUUUGAAAGGAAAAACUAAAGAAAUACAUCUACAUAUUAAGUAGUGCAUGGCCCCAGAUGAGACCACCCUAAAGGAGCUGGCCGAGACCCUGCAACAGAAGAACAUUGACCACAUGCUGUGGCUUGAGCAACCAGAGAAUAUCGCCACUUGUAUUGCUCUCCGGCCCUACCCCAAGGAAGAAGUGGGCCAGUAUUUGAAGAAGUUCCGAUUGUUCAAGUAACUGCUGCUUUGAUGUGUUUGAAUACGCAGGCCACCCAUUCCAAAGCAUCAUGUGUUCCUUGCAGUGUCAGCUUGCUCCCGUCUUUCAGUUGUGACAAUUUCUUGAGGGUUAAGCACAUGUUCAUAUUAAAGUUGUC
This 1014-nucleotide long non-coding RNA is filed under the name Homo sapiens (human). RNAcentral's name for it is "non-protein coding lnc-ADCY3-1:1". The record is from RNAcentral. Lineage: Eukaryota; Metazoa; Chordata; Mammalia; Primates; Hominidae.